AGAAGAGGUGGGUACAAAUGCAGGACACUGGAGAUGAACUUGCAAUUAAGAGAACAACAACUUAAAACAAUCUCAUAUACAUAUAGACUCUUACAUCAAAACUUCAGAAUAACUGCAAACCAAAAAUCUACAAUUGAUACACAAACAAGGAAUCUCUGGAGAAGAAAUAUAUCUCAUAGUAAAUAAGUGCAUAAUCCACCAUGAAGGGGGUCAUUUGACAUCAUUCUUGGAAUGCUGAAGUCUUCUUAGAUCUGAUUCUGAUUUCCUCUCCAUCAAAGAACUUAUGAUAAUUAUAAUUAAAUAAUGCCACUGUACAAUUAAAUAAUACAGUUCUACAAUUGUAUUAUUAAUAACCAUUUCUCUCCAUGGUACAAUGUAAAGUCUAUAAUGUCUUGUUUAUCACAUCACCUAGAAUGGUGUAAUGCCUUUAUUGAAGAAUCAAUGAGAUGGAACAAAUUGUGAGGACAUAUUUAUAUAGUUACACUGUUUUUUAACCAACUUAUGCAUGUUAUAUUUUACUUAUUUUCAGAGGGUGUAUUAUUUUUGUUAUGCUUACCAGUUAUGUUAUUCUUUUUACUAUGCUAUAUAAAAUAUUUAAUGGAAUAUUCAGCAGUGUGCCUUUCUCUGGAGGUGGCCAUUUUGGGAAAAUCUGGCCCCACCCGUCAGUCCUGCUGAGAAGCCCCAGGGCAAACAACAAUCCAGGUGGGAUCACAGCCCUGCCCCUCAGUAAACAGGCUACCUAAAGACCCCUCAGGCACACAGCUGCCUCUAAUCCCAUCCAGAGACUAAGCCCCACCCACCAGAAGGAUUAGAAUCGGCUCCACCUACCAGUGGGCAGGCAUCAGCCCCUCCCAUCAGGAAGCCUAGAGCAAGCCCCCAUACAGACUUGAGCCACAAGGGGGACAGACACCAGAAGUAAGAGAGGCUACAGCUCUAUUAUCUAUAAAAAGGUCACCACACCAAAAACCUAUAAAAAUGAAAAGACAGAGAACUAUAACUCAGAUGAGGGAGAAAGGAAAAACCCCAGAAAAACAGCUAAGCCAUGAGGAGAUUCUCAGCCUCCAGGAAAAAGACUUUAGACUGUUGAUGCUGAAGAUGAUGCAAGACAUUGGAAAUAAACUGGAGGCAAAGAUGGAUAACUUACAGGAAACACUGAGCAAAGAGAUACAAGAUUUAAAACUUAAACAAGAAGAGAUGCAAAAUACAAUAACUGAAAUAAAAAACUCACUAGAAGCAGCUAACAGCAGAAUACAGGAGGCAGAAGAACGAAUAAGUGAGGUGGAGGACAGAUUAGUGGAAAUUACGGAUGC
RNAcentral lists this long non-coding RNA (1310 nucleotides) under Sus scrofa (pig). RNAcentral describes it as "lncRNA (ENSSSCG00055003783.1)". The record is from RNAcentral. Lineage: Eukaryota; Metazoa; Chordata; Mammalia; Artiodactyla; Suidae.